AGAGUUUGAUCCUGGCUCAGAGUGAACGCUGGCGGCAUGGUUAAGACAUGCAAGUCGAACGAGAAGCAGGACUUCGGUCCUGUGGAAAGUGGCGAACGGGUGCGUAACACGUGAGCAACCUGCCCCUAAGUACGGAAUAGCCCACCGAAAGGUGGAUUAAUACCGCAUGUGACCCUUUAUCGCAUGGUAGAGUGGUUAAAGCUUGUAAUGGCGCUUAGGGAUGGGCUCGCGGCCUAUCAGCUUGUUGGUGAGGUAACGGCUCACCAAGGCUAAGACGGGUAGCUGGUCUGAGAGGAUGAUCAGCCACACCGGGACUGAGACACGGCCCGGACACCUACGGGUGGCAGCAGUUUCGAAUCAUUCACAAUGGGCGAAAGCCUGAUGAUGCAAUGCCGCGUGGAGGAUGACGGCCCUAGGGUUGUAAACUCCUGUCAUUAGGGAACAACAAGUAGGUUCAUAGCCUACCCUGAGUUAACCUAAAGAGGAAGAGGUGGCUAACUCCGUGCCAGCAGCCGCGGUAAUACGGAGACCUCGAGCGUUACUCGGAUUUACUGGGCGUAAAGGGUGAGCAGGCGGCCAGGUGUGUUAGGUGUGAAAUCCCGGGGCUCAACCCCGGAACUGCGCCUAAAACUACCUGGCUAGAGUAUCGGAGAGGACAGUGGAAUUCCAGGUGUAGCGGUGAAAUGCGUAGAUAUCUGGAGGAACACCAGUGGCGAAGGCGACUGUCUGGACGAUUACUGACGCUCAAUCACGAAAGCGUGGGUAGCGAAAGGGAUUAGAUACCCCUGUAGUCCUGGCCGUAAACGAUGAACACUAGGUGUCGGGGGAAUCGACCCCUCCGGUGUCGUAGCCAACGCGUUAAGUGUUCCGCCUGGGGAGUACGCACGCAAGUGUGAAACUCAAAGGAAUUGACGG
RNAcentral lists this ribosomal RNA (915 nucleotides) under uncultured marine bacterium. RNAcentral describes it as "bacterial SSU rRNA". It matches the Rfam family "Bacterial small subunit ribosomal RNA", at positions 8 to 916 of the family's 1533-position model. The record is from RNAcentral.